CGCGCGCUCCAACCGUUAGGGCCCUCCAAUAACCAAUGGGCGUUGGCCGAGGGAGGAGGAGGAAGUGGCAGGGGAGGGGGGGCAAAGAAAGAGAGAAAGAGACCUGCCCCAGCUGGGCGUGGCUGUACCCACUGUGGCCCCGCCUUUCGCUUCCCCUAUCUGCGUGCCUGCCCCCUCAGCUCAGGUGAGUGGGGAAGAGGCGCCGCCAUUUCUUCAGCGCCCCCCGCGGGUGACGGCGUCGCAGCAUCAGCGCUGACGUGGGGGCGACGCGCGGCCUCGCCCGGCCCAAUCCCUCCUCCCCCACCUACUUCCCCUGUGACGGGGGCGCCACGUACUCGGAGUCGUUGUAGCCAUCGUGAAAAAUGGAGGACUAUUUCCUUUGUUGGCUACCAGCCCGUGAAGAAAAGACACUGCUUCAGGAUCCUACUCACUAUAUCCAUUUGCUAUAAAUGGAGAUAAUGAACUGUAACUCUUUGAUUUCCAAAAAACAUACACUGUGACACUGUGGAGUAACAUUAAAAGUAUGAAUUUGUUACUGGUAUUAUAUUAUGAAUAUUUAAUUAAUUACAAACUUAAAUAACUUCUGCUCCUGUUCCAAUGUCUAAUAUAUGUAUGGGAUCUUCUAAAAGCGAUUUCCAAACUUUACAAAACUGUCCUAUGUUUUGGGGGAUUUCAUUUGUUAAAUACAGGGUUUCCUUGUUUUUAUUAAAAGAUUUUUACAUUUGCACUGGAGAACAUUGGAUUCCAAAGUGUUGGUUUCAUUUCAUAGGACAGCACUGAAAGACUGAUGGGAUGCUGGCUGAGUAUGUGCUUUACAACAUGUUCCAGAAUUCUUUGCGUUUCUUGGGGAUUCUGUCCCUAAUAAUCAUGGCUUUUCAUGAAUAAUCGCUGAAGGCUUCCGUCAGAACCUCCACAAAUCAGAGGGUGAUUCUGCACUGGCCGGUAUACCAGACUAGCAAAUGUACCGGGAGCCUCCCUUUUGCACGCCGGUGCAGUCUAAGGGAGGCUCUGGGAUGGUCAUCGUUUAGACCACACCAGCAUAUGGAAGGGAAACUUCUAACAUGCUUGCUGGUUCAGUACAGUAGCCAGUGCAGAAUCACUGAGGUUGUAGAUCUGCAACCUUCUUUGCAUCUCACUGAGUCUCCAAAAGGCUUUUCUUAUAAACUAUUUAGAACUUAGCCAAAGUGUUUUUGAUUUUUUGCUGCUUCACUUAUAAAAUAUAGGUUCUUCUGACACAUAAGAAACCUGUUGCAUUUUGGGCAAUAAUGUUUUUUUCUUGCUGUUUCUAUUCUCCCAUGAACUUUGAAUAUUAUGUAACAUUGAGAAUUGGUUGUCAUGGUAAUAGUUAUGACCUCAUAAAUAGAACAUGACUUAACUGCAUGGUUCACUAGAAGGGAGUGUGGCCUGGAGGAGAAAGACAUAGAUAUAUAUAUAAACAUCCAGUCACAAUGAGCAAGUGUGGUAAAAAACAGCAUGCAAGAAUUAACAUAAGGUAGCCAUGGUAUAUUGAUUUUUACAAUAUAUGCCUUGCAGACAUGUAUUACAUGUUUUGUGUAUUAGUGGCUUUGGUGAGGACCUUUAGAAAGUAAUUAAAGACAUGUUUUAUAUAACAUUUAAAAUUUUUAAAUGAAUUGAUUAGUGAACUUCUUGGAGAAAAGGGGUAUAUAGACAUAAGAAAUAUUUUUAAUAGUUCAACCCCCCCCCCCCAAUAAUUAAACAAAAGAAAGAUCCCUGUCCAUUUCUCUAAAAUACUUCUUGCAAUCCUGUUUGGAUAGGAUGCUGUCCCAUGAUAUCUGUAUUUUUUGUGGAGUUUGAUUUUUAUUAAUUUUCUUAAAAAAAAAAUUCUACAUGCUUUAUCAUUAAAUAUAAGCAGACCAGAAUAUUAAGGUAAAAUAACAAAAAUGGCAGUGUGUAAAUGGAGACAUAAAAUAGUAGCCCAAAACAUAGCAAAAUUCUAAUAUAAAAUUGACACACAUUAUAUGGGAGCCAAAUCUGCCUCAGAUAUAAUCAUGCCUCAUAACUCUGUAGUUUGAUUCCUGCAAAUUGUCGAGUAGUGCAGAACUGGGUUAUGCAAAUAAUUGUUCUCUGUGGAAAACUGAUGAUAGGGGAGAUGCAGGGAGAAAGUCCACCAAUUUUAAGUAUACCCAUGUAACUGAGUGCCAACAAAAAGGCCAGAUUGUUGCAAGUUUCUGGGAUAACAUUAAACAAGAGAAAUUGCAUUUUACCAACCAUGUAAAAACAAACCUGUGCUGUAGAAAACCAUAUUACCAACUAUAAGAGCAAAACUGCUAUUAAAAACACGUUAUAUAAGGCCUGACUGUAUGUAAAUAUUUUCAGCCUUCCGCAGUUUCAGUAAACCAAUAACUGUGCUUUUCAUUGUGUGGCACAACAUAAUAUAGGCAGCCCCCUCUGGCUCUGGGAAGGGCAGUGCAGGAAUAAAGUAAGCAUUCACUUGCUCCUAGCA
Molecule: long non-coding RNA, 2464 nt
Filed under: Salvator merianae (Argentine black and white tegu)
Lineage: Eukaryota; Metazoa; Chordata; Lepidosauria; Squamata; Teiidae
Description: lncRNA (ENSSMRG00000014287.1)
Source: RNAcentral